This 460-nucleotide ribosomal RNA is filed under the name uncultured bacterium. RNAcentral describes it as "partial 16S ribosomal RNA". It matches the Rfam family "Bacterial small subunit ribosomal RNA", at positions 338 to 795 of the family's 1533-position model. The record is from RNAcentral.
CCUACGGUAGGCAGCAGUGAGGAAUAUUGGUCAAUGGGCGAGAGCCUGAACCAGCCAAGUCGCGUGAAGGAUGACGGACCUACGGGUUGUAAACUUCUUCUGUCAGGGAGCAAUUGAGUCCACGUGUGGGAUUAGCGAGAGUACCUGAAGAAAAAGCAUCGGCUAACUCCGUCCCAGAAGCCGCGGUAAUACGGAGGAUGCGAGCGUUAUACGGAUUUAUUGGGUUUAAAGGGUGCGUAGGCGGAAUAUCAAGUCAGCGGUAAAAAUUCGGGGCUCAACCCCGUCGUGCCGUUGAAACUGAUGUUCUUGAGUGGGCGAGAAGUAUGCGGAAUGCGUGGUGUAGCGGUGAAAUGCAUAGAUAUCACGCAGAACUCCGAUUGCGAAGGCAGCAUACCGGCGCCCAACUGACGCUGAAGCACGAAAGCGUGGGUAUCGAACAGGAUUAGAUACCCUUGUAGUC